CGCCCCCGCCCCCGCCCCUGCCCCUGCGGGCUCCGGCCGGGAAGCCCGUGGUUGGGCGGCUGGCGGAUGGUGGGUCCAGGUGCUCGCUCUGUGAGCGGAGGCGCGAGCUCCCGCGAGGUCCGCUUCUCGGAACCGGAAUCGGGGCCUCGUGCCCGCCUCAGACCGGCGGGCAGACCCGGAGCUAGGCCUUCGGCCUCACAGAAGUAAGUCACCCCCGGAAGCGCGGGGAAAGGGCUGGUGGCAUUCAGGGUCACCGGGCUUUGUGCCCGAAGCUCGUGCGCCUUCGAAGACCAAGGAAGGCCUCGGAGACUUAAGUUUUUUCCAUAAACAAGAGGCAGACAGAGGACACAGCGGGGGAUCUGUCCCUGGAAUGCCCCCAUAGGAUCCUGCUCAGAAAAAGCUCAGGCUAGUCUUGUAAAGGAUGAAAGAGUACAUGGAGAGAGGACCCAGAGUACAUGGAAAGAGGACCAGGCCGUGCCAGCCAAUCCAGCUUCUGCAGGUGAGAGCUACACACUGGCAGGGAACUGAGAGCUGCUGACCCUCCAUGGAGCAAAGACAGACCCAAAGGACUGACCUACAGAACUGUGAGCAAGUACUGGUCUGGAGGCUGGAAGUUCAAGAUCAAGGUCUGGCAGUUGGUUUGCAGUGAGAGCUCUCUUGUUGACUUAUAGAGGACUGCCUUCUCACCAUGUCCUCACGGGGCCCUUUCCUGGGGUGGGGGUGAGAGAGAGAGAGUUAUGGUGUCUCUUCUUAUAAGAAAUACCCCUAUCAGAUUAGAGUCCCAACCUUACAACCUUAUUUAAUCUUAAUUGUUCCCAUAAAGGCCCUACCUCCAAAUAGAGUCACAUUGAAGUUAGGGCCUCAACAUGUGAAUUUUGAGGGAUUCAAACAGAGACCAAAAUAACAGCAACAAACAGCCUUGCACACUAUUGACGGAAAUCAUCAGUAAAGGGUCAAUAACAGAAGUGAAAAGGAGUCUUAUUCGUGCCAAACUGAAGACUACAGCCAGAGAGAUAUAGAUUCAAAAAGCCUCGAAUUGUGUUCCCCUGGGCUACAAAAUAGAGGAGGUUCUAAAGGAAAAAACUACAAAAUCACAGCAGCUGUUCAUCAAGAAUUAAGAUUGGAGCUGCAAGAAGUAAGGAAGCUUGCUAAGCAAGGAUUGGUUAUGAUCUGAAAUGGUUGUGUAGUUACAAGAGGAGACCCUGAGACCUAAGGUUGCAGCUGGCAUGUGCCAGCAGACACUGUUAUGAGAACAGCUGGUGACGUCCUGAGUCUGAUAUAGUUCGAAAAUUCAACUUCCCACGGAUGCAGGAAAUCACAUCCAUAAUGGUCACCGGCUCCAGCUGGGUGCCUGAACCACAGUGACUCCAUUCUGAUUUUCAAAUGCAUUCUUUCCUUUAAAGGUUAAAGCAGAUGUAUAGUGCAUGUUUAAUGGGCCAUAAAACAGGCUGUUUUAGUUACAUAAAGUUUAGGUUCAAUCAUGUAUAAGCCAAAAUGACUUCCCCACAUCUCAAUAGGUAAAAACUUCUCCCAUCCCUACAUCAUUAUGUCUUGUGGCCCUGAGAAUGCAGCAUCCUGUUCCCUGGGCUCCAAAGGAAAUGCCUGAUUCAUUUUUUUUUUUUUUUAACCUCCCUCUAUCAUGGGACUGUGCCCGAGUUAUUCAGUCUUGCUGAGCUUUGCUUUCUCCACCUGAAAGUGGGUUGUGAGUAUUAAAUAAAACAACAACACAAAUUUCAUAAUCUAGUCCCAGCCAUAUAGCAUCUACUCCAUAUACCUGUGCUCCCUGUUUUCAGUUCUCUUCAGAUGAUGCUCAUCAGCACAGCACGUCCACCCUAGUCCUACUUAUUCAGCAGCAUCCGUGGACAUCUGUCCACCCACAGAUCGUGUUAGAGGGCAGAUCCUAGCCUGGCUCACUCUGCCUCUCUGAGCGAGCUCUACUCCGCAGACAUGCCAGGUGGAGACCGUAUACCCCUCUCUGUGUACGGCUGGGGUCCCCCGUGUACACACCCAGCUUCUACCCAACAGCCACACCCAUGCCACUUGUAGAAAGUGGGGGGAGACAGAGGCUGCACUUCUGCUGCUUCUGGAAGGAUUUGAUUUUUCUGAAAUGGCAGGGCCUGAGACGUGGCCUGAAGGCCCCCGCUCCGAGGUGGGGAUCAGCAAAAGUGAUCCCCUGCGACAGUGAAAGCCCUGAACUCUCAGGACCCACGUGGGGCAGCAGGUCGCUGGCUUUUGGAUUCACAUGGUGACCAAGGAGGCAGUUCACUCACAGGGCCAGUUCUGCAAUGUCGGUCUUGAAGUUAGCUCUGAAAGUUCCACCAGAGUCUUCCUUUCCAGACUUUGCGAUGAUUUUGCCGACCCAAUCCCCUGUAGAGUCUCUUUGUGCUCAAAUGUCCUGGAGUCAUCACCACCUAAAGCAGACACUGUCUCAGACAAGUGUGCAGAGGUCAGAGAUACACAGUACCUGAGGCUAUAGGUCCAUGGAACUCACACCCUGAAGUUUCCUGGUGCUUGCUGUGGUCACCCCAGUGCCCAGAACUGCCCAGUAGACAGUUGUGAAACUGUUGACCCAACAUUGCCCCUUCAUUAGUUAUUGAUCCCUUAUUAGUUAUCUGCCACUGCCUAACUAAUUACCUCACAUUUAAUGGCUUAAAACAAUACACAUCCGUUAUGUUGCAGUUUCUAUGGUUCAGGACUCUGGAAUUGGUGUGGCUGGAUCAUUCUAGGCUGUGGUCAUCACAAAGCAACCUGAAGGAGGCUCCCUUGCCAAGCCCCCGACCCUCACCCCAGGCUGUUGGCAGGAGUCCCCGUUCUUCACCAUGUGGACCACUUCCAGCUGCCGGAGCAGACUCACAACCCUGCAGUGAUUCUGUCCCCACAUUGUCCCUACCAAAGAGCAGGUGACUUUCCCGUGUGAGUGAUUCAAGGGUAAAGCAGACAGAGACCCACACACAUCUGAGAGCCAAGCUCCAAGCUCUGAAUAAUCUGCGUCUUAGAGACGACAUCUCAUCUCAUACCUAUUAAGGUGGCUAUUACCAAAAAACAAGAACAAGUGUUGGUGAAGAUGUAGAGAAAUCGGAACCCUUGUGUCCUGCUGGUGGAAAUGUCAAAUGGCGCCACUGCCAUGUAAGUCCAUUUGACAGUUCAUCCAGAAAGUUAAGCCUUGAAUUGUCAUAUGAUCGAGCAAUUCCACUCACAAGUAUAUACCCAGAAGAAUUGAAAGCAGGGACUUGUACAUCCGUGUUCACAGCUGUGUUAUUCACAAUAGCCAAAGGGGGAAGCCGCCCAAGUGUUCCUUGAUAAAUAAGAUAUGGAAUAUACACACAAUGGAAUAUUAUUCAACCUUUAAAAAGGAAAUUCCAAAACAUGCCACAACAUGGAUGAACCUUGAGGGUAUUAUGCUAAAUGAAGUUAGCUAAUCAUGAGAGGACAAAUAUGAUUCCUCUUGUAGGAAGUACCUAGGAUAACGAAACUCACAGAGAAAGAAGAAUGAUGGCUGCCGGAGGGUGGGGGGAGCUGUUUAGUGGGUGCCGUGUGUCAGUCUGGGAUGAAGAAAAUGUUCUGGAGGUAAAUGGUGGUGAUGGCUGCCCAACAAUGUGAAUGUCACUGGACUGAACCUUGCCCUGAAGAUGCCCACUCACAGCUCCUGUGGGUCAGGAUUCUGGGAACAGCUCUGCUGUGAUUCUUGGUUGGGGCCUCUCACAGGAUAACUAUACACUGAACUGUUGUACUGAAAAUGGUUAAAAGGAUCGAUAUUAUAUACAUUUUACUACAAUUUUAAAGAAUAAAUUAAAAAUAAGAUA
Molecule: long non-coding RNA, 3803 nt
Organism: Cervus elaphus (red deer)
Lineage: Eukaryota; Metazoa; Chordata; Mammalia; Artiodactyla; Cervidae
Exons: 4
Source: RefSeq, a predicted model, not a curated record